RNAcentral lists this transfer RNA (72 nucleotides) under Capra hircus (goat). It matches the Rfam family "tRNA". From Rfam's summary of the family: Transfer RNA (tRNA) molecules are approximately 80 nucleotides in length. Their secondary structure includes four short double-helical elements and three loops (D, anti-codon, and T loops). RNAcentral also lists the same sequence under 1 other name. The record is from Rfam by way of RNAcentral. Lineage: Eukaryota; Metazoa; Chordata; Mammalia; Artiodactyla; Bovidae.
UCCCUGGUGGCUCAGUGGUAAAGAAUCUGCCUGCCAAUGCAGGAGACACGGGUUCAAGCCCUGAUCUGGGAA